This 322-nucleotide ribosomal RNA is filed under the name uncultured bacterium. Its description in RNAcentral is "bacterial SSU rRNA". It matches the Rfam family "Bacterial small subunit ribosomal RNA", at positions 32 to 327 of the family's 1533-position model. The record is from RNAcentral.
AAUCAACGCUGGCGGCGUGCCUCAGACAUGCAAGUCGAACGCGAAAUUUCCCUUCGGGGAGAAAGUAGAGUGGCGCACGGGUGAGUAACACGUAGGUAAUUUGCCUUUGGGUGGGGAAUAACUCAGGGAAACUUGAGCUAAUACCGCAUAAUGCAGCGGCUCGACAUCGAGACAGUUGUUAAAGCGGGGGAUUGGAGCAAUCCGACCUCGCGCCUAAAGAGAAGCCUGCGGCAGAUUAGCUAGUUGGUAAGGUAAUGGCUUACCAAGGCGACGAUCUGUAACCGGCCUGAGAGGGCGGUCGGUCACACUGACACUGACAUAC